CUACCACAUCCAAGGAAGGCAGCAGGCGCGCAAAUUACCCACUCCCGGUACGGGGAGGUAGUGACGGAAAAUAACGAUACGGGACUCUUAGAGACCCCGUAAUCGGAAUGAGUUGAACAUAAAGUCUUCCAACGAGGACCAAUUGGAGGGCAAGUCCAGUGCCAGCCGCCGCGGUAACACUGGCUCCAAUAGCGUAUAUUAAAUUUGUUGCGGUUAAAAAGCUCGUAGUUGGAUCUGCGUGCCGGACGGUCGGCCCACCCGCGGGCUGGAUACCGACCGGAUCCGGCGCAUUUCAGUCGGUUUCGCCUGAUGAUCUUCACCGGUUGUCUGGCUGACCGACGCCUUUACUGUGAAAAAAUUAGAGUGCUCAAAGCAGGCGUGGCCUGGAUAAUGGUGCAUGGAAUAAUGGAAUAGGAUCUCGGUUCUAUUCUGUUGGUCUCCGGAACACGAGAUAAUGAUUAAGAGGGACAGACGGGGGCAUACGUACUGUUGCGUGAGUGGUGAAAUACAAUGACCGCAGCAAGACGAACAACUGCGAAAGCAUUUGCCAAGAAUGUUUCCAUUAAUUAAGAACGAAAGUCAGAGGAUCGAAGGCGAUCAGAUACCGCCGUAGUUCUGACCGUAAACGAUGCCAGCCAGCAAUCCGGCUGUGUUCCUCAAAUGACACGCCGGGCAGCUUCCGGGAAACCAAAGCUUUUGGGUUCCGGGGGGAGUAUGGUU
Molecule: ribosomal RNA, 720 nt
Filed under: Symphytognatha picta
Lineage: Eukaryota; Metazoa; Arthropoda; Arachnida; Araneae; Symphytognathidae
Description: bacterial SSU rRNA
Rfam family: Eukaryotic small subunit ribosomal RNA
Source: RNAcentral